AAUUAAAAAAAAAGUUUUGGCCGAUAAUUUAAAACGCGCAAGAGAAGCUUACCGGCAAAAAAGAGCUCAAAUGCAGCAGGAGCAAGUAAAGGCAAAUGAAAAUAUUGCUUCUGAUUUGACAAAGGACAAUGAUGAUGUUCCACAAUUUCGCUCACCUACCAGUCUGGGCCAUGUUGAUAUAUCCGACAUGGAUUCAGUUUUCGACACCCCCAGAAAAGCAAAGCUAAGGCCGCGAG
Helicoverpa armigera (cotton bollworm) is the source of this 236-nucleotide long non-coding RNA. RefSeq lists it as uncharacterized. NCBI's taxonomy places the organism in Eukaryota, Metazoa, Arthropoda, Insecta, Lepidoptera, Noctuidae. The transcript is spliced from 3 exons. The record is from RefSeq and is a predicted model, not a curated record.